UUUAACAAAAACAUGUCCUUUUGUGAAAAAUUUAAGGUCGGGCCUGCCCACUGWCAUUAGCUGAAGGGCCGCGGUAUUUUGACCGUGCAAAGGUAGCAUAAUCAUUAGUCUUUUAAUUGAGGGCUGGAAUGAAUGGUUUGACGAAAUAUUAACUGUCUCUUUAUAAUAAUUGGAAUUUAACUUUUGAGUCAAAAGGCUUAGAUGAAUAUAAAAGACGAGAAGACCCUAUAGAUCUUUAUAUAAUUAAUGUAAUUAUUUAUUUAGCUGUAUUGAUUAUAGUUAUAAUAUUAUAUUUUGUUGGGGUGACAUGAAGAUAUAAAUAACUCUUUAUAAUGGAAACAUUGAUUUAUGAUUAUUUGAUCCGUUAUUGACGAUUAUAAGAUAAAGUUACCUUAGGGAUAACAGCGUAAUUUUUUUUGAGAGUUCUUAUCGACAAAAAAGAUUGCGACCUCGA
This 454-nucleotide ribosomal RNA is filed under the name Eobiana japonica. RNAcentral describes it as "Metrioptera japonica partial 16S ribosomal RNA". It matches the Rfam family "Bacterial large subunit ribosomal RNA", at positions 1803 to 2529 of the family's 2925-position model. The record is from RNAcentral. Lineage: Eukaryota; Metazoa; Arthropoda; Insecta; Orthoptera; Tettigoniidae.